GUUCUCCCAGGUUAUUUUCUGGCUGUAUCCAAGGAAAUGAGACACAGGUCAAUACUGGUUCUUAUGGUCUCCUGUGGACAUCGGAUCUCUGCCAACAUGCAAGAUCUAGCUCUGGGAAGGAAGACUGGAAGGAAAUAG
RNAcentral lists this long non-coding RNA (138 nucleotides) under Dasypus novemcinctus (nine-banded armadillo). RNAcentral's name for it is "lncRNA (ENSDNOG00000050884.1)". Lineage: Eukaryota; Metazoa; Chordata; Mammalia; Cingulata; Dasypodidae. The record is from RNAcentral.